Molecule: long non-coding RNA, 1966 nt
Filed under: Anas platyrhynchos platyrhynchos (common mallard)
Lineage: Eukaryota; Metazoa; Chordata; Aves; Anseriformes; Anatidae
Description: lncRNA (ENSAPLG00000023069.1)
Source: RNAcentral
UAAACUGCUUGGGCUUGCAAAUCUAUUGCAGGAUUAAUCAAAAAAUAAUUCUCAGCUCGUGGAGUAGCUAAGGAUGUGACAACAGUCUUGGAGAUAGACAUGCUGGUCAUUCUUACGUCCUCUUUGGAGCCUCUCUGUCCAUCUACACACUCCAUAUGCUGCAGAGACCUUGCAUUUACACAAACACCUCAUGAAUUAUAAAGUGCCAGCCACUUGAAUGAGCCAUGGCAGUGCAGGGGUGGGUGGAAAGAUGGUGGGCUGGCUUAGCAGAGUGUUGGAAGGAUGGAUGAGGAUGCAAAUGUUGGAAGAUUGAAGUGUUGGAAAAGGAUCAGAUAUUAAAAUACAUGAUUCUGCUCUCUUCCCCUCUCUCCAAGCAAUGGGAGUUUCACAAGAGGUGAAUAAUCAGAUAAAAGUUAAGUACUCUCUAGGCAACAGGCUUGAAAGAAAGAGUAAAAUUAGUGAGAUGGGUAAAUCAGGAAAUUUAGGAAGUAGAUAAGAUUGUCCGUACUGAAGAAGAAGGAAAGGAAAAGCACAUGGGUCAAAAAGAAGAUGCCACUGCUAGGUUAGGAAGAUUAUUAGCUACAGACAUGCAAAGGAUUUGGGAAAAAUGAAUUAGGGAGGAAGACACAGAGGGAUCCCAGACAUACCAAAGGUCUGUCUGGUUCCUCGUUAGAAAGCACAAUGAAUCUGUCAUGAGGGUGGGCUUUAAAUAUGCAUCACUGGUAAGCAGCCAAGGAACCAAAAGUCUGUGGAAAGGAAAAUGCUCAAGGAUUUCAGCUUAAAAUUAACAGGAAGACCAAACAUUUGAGAUCUUCUGGGCAAAGGUGUUUCUCUUCCUCAGAUCCACUAAGAUCUAUUGUGUUCCCUCAUUUACAAUCCCCUAUAUACACGAGGACAUUUGUCUUCUACCAUAAACCUCCUGGGCUGCCUGUGUACCAUAAUUUGUGUUCAAUAAUCUGGCUUCCUGUGUACCAUAAUCUCUCUGCAAGGCACUUCCCACGGAUACCUGUAGUGCUGCUGAAUUCAAAAGAAACAGAGGUUGGGUACCCUGAAGAAAAAAAAAAAGAUGCACAGGCACAUUUGUUUAAGGGUUACAGGAAAUAAUGUCCAGCAGCAGAGAGAGCUCAUACACUUGAUGAAGGGUCGUGGAAAUUAAUUUUGGACCACUCUGUCCUUAUCUUCACAGGAGACCUACAGGUUAGCCCAGGAAAUAAGGUAAAUACCUACAGAAUACUGAAGAAUAAGUGUUUGAUGACCUGAUGUUUGACUCUGAGCAGUUCUUCCCAAUUGUACCAUUAACUGUUGCUUCUCCUUACAGACCUGAAGAUGUCUCCUACCCAGAGUAAGAUCUUCAGGAGCUGUACAUCAGGCAGACUCAGCUGAAAUUGCUGCCAGAACCCAACUAAUGGCAGUCAGCACAGUUCCAGUGGAAAAAAAAAAAAAAAAAAAAACAUGGGUGAGAACUGUGGUGGAUCUCUGAGAAUUGCUAAAUCCAACCCUAGAUCAGUGGAAAUCCUCAGAUUGUUCCAGGUGGCCUAUUGCUUUAAAGCCUCUGGGGAAAGCUGAUUUGGAAGGAUGAAAUAUAAACCCAUCAACAUGGUUUAGGGCCUAAAAUUGAGUGGAAACACUAAAACAGUCUCUAUUGUAUGGUAAAGCUUUAGGGAUGCUCAGAUUGUUGGGAAAAUUUGCUAGCACCAGAGAUUAACCCCUUUCAUGUUUGUGUUAACUGUCUCUUAAAAACACUGUCUGACAACGUGCUACCUGCAAUAACUUUCUUGUCCUUUGAUGGGAGAUUCUUUUACACAUUAUACAGGUCAUGGUUAUGUGAUCAUCCAAAUGUAAACAGAACCAUGCCAACAUAGGAGCUGAUGCCCUGGUGUCGAGAUGAUAUUUCUUCUUUUUGUGCAUCAUUUUUAUUGUCUUUUUCUAAAAUAAAAUAAAAUAAAAUAAAAUAAAUAAAUAAACA